Molecule: ribosomal RNA, 182 nt
Filed under: uncultured bacterium
Lineage: Bacteria
Description: partial 16S ribosomal RNA
Rfam family: Bacterial small subunit ribosomal RNA
Source: RNAcentral
CAUGAAGUCGGAAUUGCUAGUAAUCGUAGGUCAGCAUACUACGGUGAAUACGUUCCCGGGCCUUGUACACACCGCCCGUCAAACCAUGAGAGUUGGCAACACCCGAAGUCGGUAGUCUAACCGCAAGGAGGACGCCGCCGAAGGUGGGGUUGAUGAUUAGGGUUAAGUCGUAACAAGGUAGC